UACGUAGGCGGGAAAUUAAGUCAGUAGUGAAAUCCCACAGCUUAACUGUGGAACUGUUAUUGAUACUGGUUUUCUUGAAUAUAGUUGAGGUAGGCGGAAUGUGUAAUGUAGCGGUGAAAUGCUUAGAUAUUACACAGAACACCGAUUGCGAAGGCAGCUUACUAAGCUAUGAUUGACGCUGAGGUACGAAAGCGUGGGGAGCGAACAGGAUUAGAUACCCUGGUAGUC
This 228-nucleotide ribosomal RNA is filed under the name uncultured bacterium. RNAcentral describes it as "partial 16S ribosomal RNA". It matches the Rfam family "Bacterial small subunit ribosomal RNA", at positions 568 to 795 of the family's 1533-position model. The record is from RNAcentral.